AACGAACGCUGGCGGCAUGCCUAACACAUGCAAGUCGAACGAGACCUUCGGGUCUAGUGGCGCACGGGUGCGUAACGCGUGGGAACCUGCCCUUAGGUUCGGAAUAACUCCCCGAAAGGGGUGCCAAUACCGGAUCAUGUCUUCGGACCAAAGAUUUAUCGCCUUUGGAUGGGCCCGCGUUGGAUUAGCUAGUUGGUAGGGUAAAAGCCUACCAAGGCGACGAUCCAUAGCUGGUCUGAGAGGAUGAUCAGCCACACUGGGACUGAGACACGGCCCAGACUCCUACGGGAGGCAGCAGUGGGGAAUAUUGGACAAUGGGCGAAAGCCUGAUCCAGCAAUGCCGCGUGAGUGAUGAAGGCCUUAGGGUUGUAAAGCUCUUUUACCCGGGAUGAUAAUGACAGUACCGGGAGAAUAAGCUCCGGCUAACUCCGUG
Molecule: ribosomal RNA, 433 nt
Filed under: uncultured bacterium
Lineage: Bacteria
Description: partial 16S ribosomal RNA
Rfam family: Bacterial small subunit ribosomal RNA
Source: RNAcentral